Molecule: ribosomal RNA, 227 nt
Filed under: Vibrio parahaemolyticus
Lineage: Bacteria; Pseudomonadati; Pseudomonadota; Gammaproteobacteria; Vibrionales; Vibrionaceae
Description: partial 23S ribosomal RNA
Rfam family: Bacterial large subunit ribosomal RNA
Source: RNAcentral
ACAGGUGGUCGGGUAGAGAAUACCAAGGCGCUUGAGAGAACUCGGGUGAAGGAACUAGGCAAAAUGGUACCGUAACUUCGGGAGAAGGUACGCUCUUGAUGGUGAAGUCCCUCGCGGAUGGAGCUGACGAGAGUCGCAGAUACCAGGUGGCUGCAACUGUUUAUUAAAAACACAGCACUGUGCAAAAUCGUAAGAUGACGUAUACGGUGUGACGCCUGCCCGGUGCC